Molecule: RNA transcript, 910 nt
Organism: Brassica oleracea var. oleracea
Lineage: Eukaryota; Viridiplantae; Streptophyta; Magnoliopsida; Brassicales; Brassicaceae
Exons: 4
Source: RefSeq, a predicted model, not a curated record
UCAAAAAUCCAUGCUCUCCAACGAAAAGAAAAAACCUGACAAUUCAAUCGGCGAUUAUAAAUCGUUUCUACACCCUCUUUCAUCAAUUCAGCCAUUAACUCGUUCAAAACAUAAAACCGACGAUAUGAAUGAAUCCCCUCUCUUAUUCUAUAUAACCCAAUGUCGAUCCAAGUCCAAACUCGCAGGUUCAGUUUCUUUAGCGCAUUUGGUUUCUGUAUUUUUUAACAGGUUCAGUAUGUUAAUUAAUCUUUAGUGCAUAUGAUUCGAUGUUCCGAGGAAAGAGAUAACAGAUAUCCAAAAUCAUCAGGUGGUUUCAUCUGAAGAGCUCAGAGUAAGAAACUCAUCGAACGAGGAGCUCAGUACCCCGAAUGGUCAAUUUGCAACUCGGAGUUGUGACCAAGACUGUGACCUGAGUCUGGUGAGCUAACGUUGGUCAAAGAAAUGCUCUGUGGCCGCAUAUAAAAAUUUAGAUGAAAACGAGAUUGGUUGGAAAAAAAGAGAGGAGGCUUUGAUCCUUAAUUGAUUUCAGUUAAUGCGAACAUUGCUUCAAAGUUCACUGCGAAAAGCACAAGGCAGUGUAGAAGAAGAUGGUGUGUUACGACUAUGAUCCCUUGAAGAAGAUGCACUUCGGUGUGAGGUUAGACAUUUUUAAUCACAUAAGUUUAUAGAGUUGGCACCCGAAGAAGAUGCAUGCUAUACCAGUUUCUUAAGUUCGGAUUUCAUUGAGGUUUGAUUAUCUUUUUCCUGGAUGCAUCAUGUUUGUUGUUAUAUGCACAUCAUCUUGAUAGAUGUCUUAGCUUGGACACACUGAUCUGAGAAGUCUAUUACAGAUGCCUCGACCAAUAAAGAUUAACUUUGUGUAAGUGGGAAGAUCAGUCCACACCAGAAAUUUGAAGUUGCUAGAGUCUAA